ACGUUCCUAGUUUAAUGAGAAUUCUAGUUUGUCGUACUUGGGGUGGCUUAGGUCGGAAUGUG
Molecule: transfer RNA, 62 nt
Filed under: Cyathocotyle prussica
Lineage: Eukaryota; Metazoa; Platyhelminthes; Trematoda; Diplostomida; Cyathocotylidae
Description: tRNA-Asp
Source: RNAcentral